GAUACCCCAGUCAGGC
Molecule: ribosomal RNA, 16 nt
Filed under: Carex rupestris
Lineage: Eukaryota; Viridiplantae; Streptophyta; Magnoliopsida; Poales; Cyperaceae
Description: partial 26S ribosomal RNA
Source: RNAcentral